GGGUGAGUAACACGUAUCCAACCUUUCCCUUACUCGGGUAUAGCCUCGGGAAACUGAGAGUAAUCCCCGAUGUUGUGUACGAAUAGCAUUUUUUGCACACUAAAGAUUUAUCGGUAAGGGGUGGGGAUGCGUUCCAUUAGGUAGUAGGCGGGGCAACGGCCCACCUAGCCGAUGAUGGAUAGGGGUUCUGAGAGGAAGGUCCCCCACAUUGGAACUGCGACACGGUCCAAACUCCUACGGGAGGCAGCAGUGAGGAAUAUUGGUCAAUGGUCGGAAGACUGAACCAGCCAAGUAGCGUGCAGGAUGACGGCCCUAUGGGUUGUAAACUGCUUUUGUGCGGGAAUAACGUACGCCACGUGUGGUGUAGUGCAUGUACCGUACGAAUAAGGAUCGGCUAACUCCGUGCCAGCAGCCGCGGUAAUACGGAGGAUCCGAGCGUUAUCCGGAUUUAUUGGGUUUAAAGGGAGCGUAGGCGGAGGAUCAAGUCAGCUGUGAAAUGUAGACGCUCAACGUCUGCACUGCAGUUGAAACUGGUCCCCUUGAGUGCGUAAGGGGCAGGCGGAAUUCGUCGUGUAGCGGUGAAAUGCUUAGAUAUGACGAAGAACUCCGAUCGCGAAGGC
RNAcentral lists this ribosomal RNA (620 nucleotides) under uncultured bacterium. RNAcentral describes it as "bacterial SSU rRNA". It matches the Rfam family "Bacterial small subunit ribosomal RNA", at positions 104 to 722 of the family's 1533-position model. The record is from RNAcentral.